This 497-nucleotide ribosomal RNA is filed under the name uncultured bacterium. RNAcentral's name for it is "partial 16S ribosomal RNA". It matches the Rfam family "Bacterial small subunit ribosomal RNA", at positions 28 to 507 of the family's 1533-position model. The record is from RNAcentral.
GAUGAACGCUGGCGGCGUGCCUAAUACAUGCAAGUCGAGCGAACGGACGAGAAGCUUGCUUCUCUGAUGUUAGCGGCGGACGGGUGAGUAACACGUGGAUAACCUACCUAUAAGACUGGGAUAACUUCGGGAAACCGGAGCUAAUACCGGAUGAUAUUUUGAACCGCAUGGUUCAAAAGUGAAAGACGGUCUUGCUGUCACUUAUAGAUGGAUCCGCGCUGCAUUAGCUAGUUGGUAAGGUAACGGCUUACCAAGGCAACGAUGCAUAGCCGACCUGAGAGGGUGAUCGGCCACACUGGAACUGAGACACGGUCCAGACUCCUACGGGAGGCAGCAGUAGGGAAUCUUCCGCAAUGGGCGAAAGCCUGACGGAGCAACGCCGCGUGAGUGAUGAAGGACUUCGGAUCGUAAAACUCUGUUAUUAGGGAAGAACAUAUGUGUAGGUAACUGUGCACAUCUUGACGGUACCUAAUCAGAAAGCCACGGCUAACUACGUG